Molecule: transfer RNA, 85 nt
Filed under: Oscillospiraceae bacterium
Lineage: Bacteria; Bacillati; Bacillota; Clostridia; Eubacteriales; Oscillospiraceae
Description: tRNA-Leu
Rfam family: tRNA
About the family: Transfer RNA (tRNA) molecules are approximately 80 nucleotides in length. Their secondary structure includes four short double-helical elements and three loops (D, anti-codon, and T loops).
Source: RNAcentral
GCGGUCGUGAUGGAAUUGGCAGACAUGCAAGAUUUAGGUUCUUGUGCCGAGAGGCGUGGGGGUUCAAGUCCCUUCGACCGCACCA